RNAcentral lists this ribosomal RNA (253 nucleotides) under uncultured bacterium. Its description in RNAcentral is "partial 16S ribosomal RNA". It matches the Rfam family "Bacterial small subunit ribosomal RNA", at positions 524 to 776 of the family's 1533-position model. The record is from RNAcentral.
GACAGAGGGUGCGAACGUUGCUCGGAAUCAUUGGGCGUAAAGCGCGUGUAGGCGGCAUCGCACGUCGGGUGUGAAAGCCCGGGGCUCAACCCCGGCAGUGCACCCGAAACGACGAUGCUAGAGUGCUGGAGAGGCGGGUGGAAUUCCUGGUGUAGAGGUGAAAUUCGUAGAUAUCAGGAGGAACACCGGUGGCGAAGGCGACCCGCUGGCCAGCGACUGACGCUGAGGUGCGAAAGCGUGGGGAGCAAACAGG